AUUGAACGCUGGCGGCAUGCCUUACACAUGCAAGUCGAACGGUAACGCGGGGCAACCUGGCGACGAGUGGCGAACGGGUGAGUAAUGCAUCGGAACGUGCCCAGUAGUGGGGGAUAGCCCGGCGAAAGCCGGAUUAAUACCGCAUACGACCCACGGGUGAAAGCGGGGGACCGUAAGGCCUCGCGCUGUUGGAGCGGCCGAUGUCAGAUUAGGUAGUUGGUGGGGUAAAGGCCUACCAAGCCUUCGAUCUGUAGCUGGUCUGAGAGGACGACCAGCCACACUGGGACUGAGACACGGCCCAGACUCCUACGGGAGGCAGCAGUGGGGAAUUUUGGACAAUGGGCGCAAGCCUGAUCCAGCCAUGCCGCGUGCGGGAAGAAGGCCUCGGUGUAACGACUUUGUCAGGAGAACGACUCCGGCGUAAUACCCUCGGGUAAGUGACGGUACCGUGAAGAAUAAGACACCGGCUAACUAACGUGCCAGCAGCCGCGGUAAAGU
This 498-nucleotide ribosomal RNA is filed under the name uncultured bacterium. RNAcentral's name for it is "bacterial SSU rRNA". It matches the Rfam family "Bacterial small subunit ribosomal RNA", at positions 29 to 526 of the family's 1533-position model. The record is from RNAcentral.